UGACUGAGAUGGGCAGUGACGAACCAAAAAAUUCACAGCUUGUCCCAGAUCCGGAAGAAGUCUUAGACGACUGUGGUUCGGGAAUAGAAAGAUUCACUAGGAUGAUCAAUUUUACAUGGGGCGUGCUUGUCUUCUUUCUCCAGUUGUGGGCCUUACUUAUUUCAACAAUGAAUGUGGAUAUAGACCCUACUGGCUUCUUAGUUGGCAUCUACCUCGUUAUGCUCGCAGCACUGGCGAUAUUCGAAAAGGUCAGGAGUAUUGAUAUUGCUCGCUGUUUG
Molecule: long non-coding RNA, 278 nt
Filed under: Daphnia magna
Lineage: Eukaryota; Metazoa; Arthropoda; Branchiopoda; Diplostraca; Daphniidae
Description: uncharacterized LOC123470308
Source: RNAcentral